Non-coding RNA from Pelobates cultripes (western spadefoot toad), 11066 nucleotides. NCBI's taxonomy places the organism in Eukaryota, Metazoa, Chordata, Amphibia, Anura, Pelobatidae. The record is from the annotation of a GenBank genome assembly.
CUGCUCUUCAGGUUGCGGCAUCCUGGAAGUGUGCCUCCAGGAUGAAAGGCCAAUCCAAUGCUUCUCAUAGAAUACAAUGAUUAUCUAAGGCCUAUCGUGCGGGGCCUAUCAUUAUGGUAUGUGAGUUAGGAAGUAAGAUUCCCGGUUCUCAGACCCAAAGGGGUUGGAGGCGUGGCUUGAAGCUACGCUUCCAAGCCUUCUAAUAAGUGAACUAAGGGGUUUUGAGCGGUAGCAGCAGGGGACAGGACUACAGGCACCAUAACAACUUCAAUUAGUUGAAGUUAUUAAAGUGCCUACAGUGCAUCUUUAACACAACCUCCUCCUAACCCUAGCCAUACCUAAGUUAACAGUGCUGAAAUGCCACAGUGUUAUAAUUAAUGCAGUAAAAUCUAAGUGCCAAACUAACAUUAGAAUUUACAAUGUGCCAUUCAGAUGACAUUUUAAAUACAUUUAAAUACAUAACCAUUGGUAUUUAAAAUCAAUACUUGUGUCUGGAAAUGACGUUUCCAAAUCUACCAGUAAAAUGUCAAUUUAUAGUUCUAAAUCAGAGUUUGCAGGAAUCUAUGAUCUGCAAACUUUCUUUGUCUUAGGGAUGAGCAUAACCACCUAGCAAAGCUAGUGGGUAUGCGGCAGCCUCCCGGAGUCAAAUGCCAGAGCUGAAAAGGCUCGCGCUGUGCAUCUGCACAGCAACAGCCUUUCAGCCAAUCAGGUAAUCAGGAGAGCCGUGCUGAGCGCGGGAAUCCUGAUUACCUCAGAUUUUUUAAAAUUGGGAAACUGCGGAUGGUUAGCACAUCCCAUGAAAUACUAAGGAUAAAUAUUUCCCACAGUGUACAGGAAUAUAAUUAAACUUCUAAACACAAAAUAAAAUAAUUCAAGAUGCCAAUAGUACAGGGGAACAAGAAAAUAUUUAAUAAGUCAUGGAGACAUACAAGAUAGACUUGAAACUUUGUAUAAAACAGCUGAACUGAAAAACAAGGCAACAAUGUGUGCCAAAGGAAAGUAUCCAAAGACCACUGGAAACAUUCAACGUAAGUUGCAACAAAAUAAGUUCAAUAAAGAGACAAGAAAUGUUGAAACAAGUCCCAGCAGACAUAAUCUUUAUGCAGGGAGUCCAUGAGAAUAUUAAACCGACGAGACUACUUGCAUCCAAUCCUUCUACUUAGGUGGAUCCUUGGUUUGUUGGUCUUGUCUUGGAGUACGGCUAUAGUCUGUAAAAAACAAAACAGAGAACAGUUAUCAAAAGGUUGAAUAAGCACCAGAUAACCUUAUGUUUUAGAAAAACCAACUACCACCAGCAGGCAAAACCCUUAACUAGGAGGAGGGUGGGACGGGCGCUAUUGCUAGGUGGUUAUGCUCAUCCCUAAGACAAAGAAAGUUUGCAGAUCAUAGAUUCCUGCAAACUCUGAUUUGUCCUCCGGGAGGCAUAACCACCUAGCAAAGCUAGUGGGUAGAAUAGCACACACCUGGUGGUGGUCCUAAGAAACUGAAGGCGUUCAACUUCUGAUGGCCUCCAGUAAAAUCUAACAAAGGUUUUACUGGACAACCAUCUUGCAGCUUUUAAGAUAGUAGCUAGAGGAAGGCCCUUUCCUGCUGCUUUAGUAGCCGAGGCUCCCCUAAUUGAAUGGCUUUUGAACACUGAAACAUCAAUUCCAGCCGUAGACAUGGCGGAAAGUAUCCAGCCUCUAAUUGUAUUAACCUUGGCUGGACGAAAGGGAUUCCUUGAUGUAAUGAAUAAUUGACUGAUAUCGUUUCUAAAUCCAGCAGAAAGUUGAAGGUACGAUUGUAACAAACUGACUAAACAUAAGCCUGGUUCGGAAGAAUCUUGGACCAAGUCCAAUUCUACCGGACCAGGAGAAAAAUGGGAUGUUUUUUGUCUGCCUUUUAGUAUGAUAUGGAAACCUCCCGGGGUCCUGGACAACCAAGGUUCUGAAAUAUGGAUCUGAGUUAACUCUGCUCCUCUAGCUGCCAGGGCCAAGGACAGCAGAGAAGCCAGCUUAAUAGCAGUCCAUCUUAAAUCAAUUUUAGCAUUAUCCAAAGACUUUAGGAAAUUUAAUAAGACAUCUACAUCCCAAGUAGAUGUGUAGCGUGGGGUAUAUGGGCGGCAGACGGCUAACCCUUUUAGUAAUCUCAAAUACAGGGCAUCCUGAGUAAGGUUGGGGAUCAGGAAGUUUAAGGCAGAUCCGUAGGUCUUGAUUGAACUGACAGAUAAACCAGAAUGGAACUUAAGGGUAAGAAAUUCUAACGCCAAAGGAAUGGUAUCAGAUCCUUGUGUGUUAGACAGAAAAGAAACCUCCCAUUCUUUGAAUUCCUCGAUCAUCUUUCUAUAUCUUACCCUAGUUCUACGUCUUAAAGAUGAGUUAAUAAUAUCCAAGACCUGGUCCGAUAAGUGGGGAUGUGUUAACAGCCUACCAGGGCUGCGAUCCACAUCAGCUGCGGGAGCUUGAGCAGAAGAUCGCUGGUUCCCUGAAAGCAGUCCACUGUCAUGCCUAAUGGGAUCUUGGUUCCCUUGACUAACUGAUGGAUCAAGGGAUACCAGGGUCUGGAGGUCCAUACUGGGUAAACGAGAACUAAGCUCUGCACCCUGUCCCUGCGGAUCUUCUCCAGCACUUUCAUCAGUAAAGAUGGAGGGGGGAAAGCAUAAGGGGCUGGAACAUCCGUCCAUUGGAAAGACAUUGCAUCCAUUUUCCAAGCUCCCUUUGUCCAGGUCCGGGAGACGAACCUGGGAGUUUGAGCGGAUGUUUGGGAUGCAAACAGAUCUACCUGUCUCUGGCCAAAAUUGCUUUCUAUCUUUUGGAAAGAGCAAUCUUUAAUUGGAUCGUUGCCAGGGACAAACUUUGGCGAGAGAGAGAGUCUGCAAGCUCGUUCGCCUCUCCCGGAACAUAUUCUGCGAAAACCUGAACAUUGCUUGCUAAGGCCCAGGACCAAAGAUCUAGAGCCUCUAAGCAAAGACCCCUUGAUCUUGUACCCCCUCUGUGGUUUAUAUAAGCCACCGCUGUCCUGUUGUCCGAAUGGACUUUUACCAAUGUCGGUGACUCGUUUAGAGGAACUAGGCCCUUGAGAGCUAAUUUUAUAGCUCGUAACUCCAAGAUGUUUAUAUGGAGGUGACUCUCUUGGUCUGACCAGAUUCCUCUUAUGGCGUUUUGGGUUGUAAACGCACCCCAACCGUGACUUGAGGCAUCUGACGUCAGAGUGACUGUCGCAGGCUGCUCUAACAGUGGACGAGGAAAUGGAAUUUCUAACUCCAGAAUGGACUUCAAUUCUUCUCUGACCUUCUUGGGGAGAACAAAUUUUGAUUCCCAAUGGCCACCCUGUCUCAGUCGGUUCCCUAAAAACAGCUGACUUCUUCUGCAAAGUAAAGGGGAAUUGUUGUAUGCUGGUGUUAAAGCUAUUAAUUUCCCUAUGAUCUUUGCUAGGUCUCUCAAGGACCAACUCUGGUGCUUGAGAGAUGAGUUCAGAUGUACCAAUAAUUUGUCCCAUUUGUCUUGAGGGAUUCCAAGGGACAUAGUCCUGGUGUUCAGUAUGAAACCCAGAAAGAGGAUGCUUUGAGUGGGAAUUAGGACUGAUUUAUGUAGAUUUACUACGAAUCCUAGGUCUUGUAAAAGGGAAGCAAUCCCUUUGAGAAGCAAGGGCUUCCCCAUCUGGGUGCAUGAGCAGGAUGUCGUCUAGGUAGUAUAGACACAUGAAAACUUUUAGUCUGACAUGAGCUAUCACUGAUUUCAUAAUUCUGGAGAAUGUGUAUGGUGCGUUGGAGAGGCCAAACACCAUAACAGUCCACUGCCACACCUUUCCUUUCCACUGAAACCUGAGAAAACGCCUGUGUUUCUUGGCUAUGGGGACUGAACAGGGAUGAAGUGGAAGGUUUCUGAGCAUUGCCUUCUUUUUCUGCUUUAUCCAGCAUCAGUAAUAGUGGUCCCACAGCAUCAGCAAUUUUAAACUGUAUAUUGCGAAAAGUCUGGUCUGUGGGAUCAGAGGAUACGCUGCUCCCUGUGAUGGAUAACAGCGAAGGGUCUACCUCUGGGGCCAUUAGAGCCUGAAUGUCCGGGAUACCGAUGUGGUUCCUGAGGAGAAGGUCAUCUUCCUUAACCAAGGGGGAUCUGAAGGCUAGUUUAGCAAAAUCUCUAACCUCGGAAUCGUGCUCCAUAGCCCAUCUGGAGUGAAAUAAUUUUGAUGGGAGAGUCUUUCCUAGGAGACUUACUCUGGCCAUCUGAACAUUGCUUAGCUUCCCUCGCUCAGUGGAAGCUGCUGAACGAACCACUUCCUCGGAUUCCCAGUCUAUUUCUGGAGAGCCGUAUCUGGAACUGGGACGGCUUUGGGAAGAAGAGUGAGCGAACGCUCUAGAAGAGGAAGGAGAGGGACUAUCUAACCUCCAACGAGAUUUGCCCUUUUCCUCUGGGAGGUGUUUCUGGUGCUCAAACGAGGGAAACACGCUAUUCCUUUUUUGAGGUCCUGUCCCCUUAAAUUUUCGCUUACUCAAACGAGUAUGAGGGGAAGGAGGAGCGGAGAAGUUUUCCUCAGACGAGGAACUGGCGGAAGAGACCAGCCGUCUUCCUUUAUGCUUUUUAUUUAAAACUGGGACCAAAUCCUCCUCAGAUGAUGAAGAGGAUAGAUCCCUGGCAAGGAAAGCUCUCUUAUGGAGCUUUCUAACAUUGAUGGGGCUGCCUUUAAGAGAGGCAUCCACUAAAUCUGUGGCAGACACAGAAAUAGAGUCCUCCAUCAAUGAUGCCAUUUUAAAAAAUCUGAGGUAAUCAGGAUUCCCGCGCUCAGCACGGCUCUCCUGAUUACCUGAUUGGCUGAAAGGCUGUUGCUGUGCAGAUGCACAGCGCGAGCCUUUUCAGCUCUGGCAUUUGACUCCGGGAGGCUGCCGCAUACCCACUAGCUUUGCUAGGUGGUUAUGCCUCCCGGAGGACAAAUAUAGCUAGAUUGCAGUGCUGGCUAGGUUUAAUUUAUGCUCAUUUCCCAUAAACUGCUCCCUCGCCGUUACAGUGUCCUGCUUCACUGAUCUCCUUAUAAAGUACUUCCUGUACUAAGAGCACUGUUUAUUGGAGAGGCAUCAAAUUCAGAGUUUAAUUCGCUAAGUAGGGCGUUCUGGUGCGUUGAUAAUCAACUUACAGUAUUUAGAUCAAAAUAAUAAUGUGAAAAAUAUUUCCAAUUUGUUCAAGAAUUUGCUAUUUUAGCUUAAUUAUUCCAAAACGGUUCUUAACUUAACCAAAUGAGUUAACCAAUCAGUCUCUCUGCCUGAAGUAUAGAGCGAUAUUUGUAAUGUAGGAUACUUCAUUUAAACACAGCAGGAGAAGCUGGGUGGGACCAUCAGGGGAGCUAAGUUCUGAGGGACUAAGUUUUGAAUUGUAUUUUUUUGGAUACAAUAAUUUCUUGUCAAGGAGCUGAAAAGGUCUUGUACCGCAAUUCAUAGGGUUCGGAGGGAUUAUUUGCUAUUAUUGUUAUUAUUAUUGGCAUUUAUAUUGCAGCAACCUAUUCCGCAGAACUUUACAAUAUUAUAAAAGGGAAAUUUAACAAUAAAUUAGACAAACUAUUAAAAAAUUUGCCAGGAACAAUAGGAUGAUGAAGAUCCUGCUCAGACGAGCUUGUAAGAUCAAGAUGCAUAAAUAAAAAAAACCACCAGAAUCCUUGAUUUCUUUGUGUAUUGAAAUGUCAUAAUGUGUAUAUUAAUGUUUAACUGUCAUAAUUAAAAUUUUACAAUCACGACAGAUAAGGUGCCAAUAAAUUAUUAUUAUUAUUAAUAAUAAUAAUAACAGUAAUACAUUUAGAGAUAGUGGAAAGUGCAAUUCACAUACGGUACUUAAAGAUCAGAUUUAAGUAUUUAGGCAGAUAUAUGUGUGUUUCAGGAAAGUCAGUUUGCAGAACACUUAUUGAAAUAUAGUUAUUUCUCUAAAAAUGAUACUACAUUCCUUGUAACUUGUGUUUAUCGAACCUUCAGAAUGAUGCCUCAAAGCAUCACCAGAGGGAAUAGUUGAACAAUGAUUCCUCAGUGCCAUGUGGGCAGCAACGUGUUAAAGAGAAGACUUCAUUUAAUGAGAAGCGAUUGAAGAGACUCUAUUGUGUUAUAAAGCAGGUUCUAAUGUUUCAACAUACAGGGCUCUUAGAAAACGUGUUGCAGUACAAGGAGGACCCCUUGCUGUGAUCUUUAAUUGUUCCCUCACCCAGCUGUGAUAUUGCGUUUAAUUUCCAAGGAGAAAUUCAUCAACUCCAAUUACAAAUUAAAAAUCUUUAUUAAACAAUGUAAUUUUGCCUCCAGUUGUGAAUGAGAAAAUACAGAUACCCAUAAACAAGUAUGAUCAAAGGCAUCUGUUUUGGACUUUGUAUAUUGAUAAAUUUUGCAAUAAUGAUUUAGAUUUAUAAAAUCAUAAUUAGCUAGCCAAAUCUUGCACUAAGAAAAUGACUGUUAAAACACAAUGGAUUCUACUAACUAAACAGGAGUGUAGUCGGCUGAAUAGCUGAUUUGCACAUUUUCAAGAUAAAUAUUCAAGUGUCAAAAAGUGUUUGCAGUUAGCUGAGUUGAUGAAUUUGGAUAUUUCUUGGCCUAAAAUCUACACAACUGUUGUCAGCUGAACACGGCUGACUGUUUGGGAAACCUUCCUAUUUGAGAAUACUAUCUAAACAUAAACAGGAUUAUUCAUUAAAACGUGAAAAAUUGUCGAGAAUUCAAAGUAAAUUCAAAUGGAGUUUUUUUAAUUUUAAGCCGAAACGAAAAAAUUCUCCAAGUCAACUGUGUUUAAUGUUGAGCUGUUUUUGCAUACAAUUUGAAUUCUCAACAAGCUACACUUUGGUGCAAAACUGGUAAAAUUCUCUGUAUUAUUCCCUUAGGAGUUAGAACAUUUACCAUACUGAUAACAGACAAUCUGCACACUAGAAUCAUUACCUAAUCACAUAUUUAAACAUGAUUCAUAUUGAUCUAAGUGCAAUUUUCAGUAGAGAUCUUGCAAACUUCUUACAUCUAUCAAUUAAUUGGUUCACCUUUCAGUUAAGGUUAGAGUUAAACAUUAAAGUACCCUGUGGUGUUUAGAGUAUAUGAAAGAUGUUUUUUGUUGUUGUUGUUGUUGAGGAAAUGGAGUUGGAACUUCAAGUUUUGUUAAAAAAAAAAAAGUUAAAAAAAAUAUUUUGGUCAUUUGUGUCAUUUGUGACAGCUUCGAGGCAAAAAUUCAGAUAAAUGUAUUAAGAUUCUUUUCUUCUAAAUUGCAUAUAGCACCUACAAAUUGCUUUAAAUUAGAGGUAAAUUGAUGCUAUGUAUAAAGUAAGCAUAGUGGCCCUGAAUGCUCCCACAUUACCCUUAAUUAUAAAAAUCCCCUAUGCCAUCUUCACUACCAAGCAUUUUUUUAUUUGUAAAAAAUAAAGGCAUACAUUUUUAUUUUAAACAUGGAGUACAUAGCUAGCACUUAAACAUAUCAUAGAUUUAGAUUGCUGUUCACAAAAACAUACUUAUAUAAAUUACAUAAAUAUAUAAACUUUUAUUUUUCAUUUAUACAAGCAUCCUUUAUGGAAAUAUUGGGAAAUGAAAACCAUUCGACAGUAUAUCUAUCACUUAUCUUGCAAUAUUUCACACAGGGCUUGAACUAUUAGUAUAAAAAUAUAUAAUUAUUAUUGCAUUCCUAAUUACCCUGCUUGUAGGUAUUUAUAAGGGCCCUGAUGGCGUUACUAGCAGUACAACUUACUAAAAACAAACUGUAAAUAGAAUGUUGAUAGAUUGUAAAUAGAAUUCUGCAUUUGAACAGAAUGCCCUCAUAAAAAUAUUUAAAAGGUGUUGUAGUAAUCUGCUACAUUCUCUGUGAUGCUAAUAGAGAUUUGAGAGAUAUCAUUCAAUUCUCUUCCUUCUCUGACGGUAGGAAAGAUGAUCUGUUUAAAGCAUCCUUUACUGUUUGGAAGGAGGAGAGGGCUGUCAUUUUGUAGCCCAUUUGCAGGCCAUUUGAAGUCUACUAUACUAGACUUCUGCAGUAAUGCUUCUCAGAUGGUACGAACUAAUCCAAUUCCUUUUAAUCUACCCCCGAACGAAUUGAUCCUUUCAGAAAAGGACUUCACAGGUAAAUCCUGUUAGUUUGGGAGUCGAUCUGUACCAAUUGAAAAGCAUUAAUGAACAAAUCUAUACUCUACAACAGGGGUGCCCAAAAGGUAGAUCCCCAGAUACUGUAGAACUACAACUCCCAUGAUGCUUUGCACACAUUUAGAGUGCCUUUAGAAUGACAAAGCAUCAUGGAAGCUGUGGUUUCCAUGAUGCUGGGGAAUCUAUCUUUUGGGCAUCCCUGCUCUACAAGCUGGUAAUCAGUGUUGGUGUAUAUAUGAAGGUAAGUGAAGCUAUAUGAAUUCAAAAUUGUUGAAAGGUUAAGGUUAAAGAAAGUAUAUUUUGCUAGUGAGGGGGUUAAACUCGGGAGGGAGGCAGAAACCCUAUGGAAAUAAUUUUCUGCACCCUUACAGUAGUGUAUAGGUUAAUACAUUUCCCAUUCAACUGAUUGACACAUAUAUUAUGACUGGCUUCUACUGUUUUUUGUGAAUGCAAUGACUAUUAGACAUUUCACAUUUACAAUCUCAACAAUUGUUUAGAAUUUCUUAAACUUAGUUUGGUUUAUAUAUUUGCUUUUUCCUCAGUGUGGUUUGCAUCAUUAUCACUAUGUACCAUAAUAAAUUGGUUAAAUUUUAUGCACAUGAAAAAGUCAUUACAAUCUUUUAAAUGAAUAUCACAUUUAUUAACUUGGUACUUUUUUUAACAUUAACCCUUACAUUGCUGCCCAUGAACAGCAUCUGGUUCUUUCAGACAGUGCCCUCCUUGAUUAAUAGUGUGUACAGGGGAUAUUAAUUUAGUUUUGUCCAUUUAUUUACUUUUUUGUUUAUUUUGCCUGCAAAUUUCCACAUUUGUCUAUGAAUUCAAAGUUUGGUAUGUUAAUAAACACUGAAUUCCUAUGCAUCAUUUUCAAUUCUGACUUUAUGAUACUCAUUUUGAUGUAGAUUUGAAUCAAACCAAAUUUGUACAUUUAUGGCUAAUCUACAAAACUGAGCUACCUUUAGUGAAUAGCAAAAUUACAGUAAUUAUUAGUAAAUUAGUAAAGUUUCAGAACAUUUUGUAAUCUGUAGGAACAUUUAAAUCUUAGGGAAUAAUAUUUCUAUAUAAAAAGUACACACUUCUUUGCUCGAGACUCAAAUGGUUGAAACAUCUGUCUUUUGAUAGCCCUACGGAUCGAUAAGCUGCAGAUUCAACAAUUUGCUUUUUCCCAAAAAUUGUGUAUAUAAUAGUAGGGCAUAGCCAAGGGAACAAAUAAAAUGUGUUAAAAUAUAAACACAACAUGUUUUAAUAAUAAUAAUAAUAAUAACAACAAUAUUAAUAAUUUGCUCCCUUGCUGUGUUUAAAGUUGACCUUUUAAGCUGCUGAUUAAAAUCAGAUGAAAAGUUAAGGCAAAUAAAGCAAUGGAUUGUAGUGAAUUUUGUCGACCAACUCUUGCAUUUCAGGACAAACAAUUAAUAAUUUAUUAAACUCCGCUGUACUGAACAACAAGCCUUGUCAGCUCAUUACAACUUACUGUUCAGUGAAUACACCUCUCUGGUUAGAGAAGGGGGCAAGGAAAGAGAUAGGACACUUAUUGGCUUGUUUUGUGUAGUUUUCUCACUCAUUCACUGCAAAAAUAAUCUCAGUAAAAAACUCUUUGAGGAAUUUAAAAUGUUGAAAGUGUAUCUUUGUGUUUGAAGGCAUGUCUGUGUCUGAUCAUUAUGUAAUCAUAUAUUGUAUUGAGGGUGAAUCUGUACUUUCAGUGUACUGUGAGCAAAUCGUUUAUGUCUGUUUAAGGGGACAGACAUUUUUAAAAAAAUCUGUAAUGAGACUUAAUUUGGUGUCUGGAUGAAAAGUGUUUUAUGAGGUGUCUGUGAAAAAAGUAAGUUUGUUAGAUCUGUAUUAGUAGAGUCUGUCUUUUGUGUCUGGGAGAGGAAAAUUAAUAUUUUCUAGCAAAAGGCAACUGUUUUUUGUGCUAAGGCACUGCAUAUUGAAACACAAAUGUCAUGUAGUAUGUAGAGAGUAGCUGUGAGGAAAUUAUGUCUACUAUCAUGGCUUAAAAUUUCCACUCACCACAGUUCUCUGGUGAGCGAAAAUUCAGCCCUGACAAAUAGAAAUACACCUCUGGUUAGAGAUUCAUGGGCACUCCAAGUGUGUAGUGGAACUUUUAAGGCCUGACUAGUAGCAUAGAACUUAAAAAUAUAAGCUCUAUCUAUCUAUCUAUCUAUCUAUCUAUCCAAAUGGAUACAGAUGGUUUUAGAGUUGGAAGCAGGGAAUUCUGGGAAAUUUACCAGACUCCUGGUGAACAAUGCUGAGGGAGCCUGGCAGUGUCUUUACCCACCCACCCUCCCCAAUGUUUCUGUUAUGGAAUUGUUGUUUUGUGUUGUGUUUCUUUGUUUUUUUUUGUUUUUUUCACAGCUGCUGGUUUCCUGUGUCAGCAGGUUUGGUAAAUGAAUAAUGCCCGGACGGGCUUGGUGAGUCUCAGCCUGAAUUUGGUUGAUCAUGAAGGACAAGCUGAAGAGGCUCUGGAAAAAGUUUAAAGUGUAGCUGUCUGCUGGGUAAAACCAGCAGCUGACAGUAUUUGGUUGUGCUGGUUUAAAUAAAGCUGUGGCUGUUGCCCUUACCCACUUAACAUGGUGUUGUGUUACUUAUUGGGAAUGGAAGGGUAAUGGGAUUUGGUGAUCGAAGAAGUCAGCAAUCAAGUAGUUUCUGGGUGAGGCUGUUGUCACUGUGUGGAGAGAGUAAAUAAGUAGUUUCUCUAAAGAGAGAACAGCUGUAUUAUCUGUGUAAAGAGAACACAUUUGAAUAGUCUGAGAGCAGACAUCAACUGUGUUGUCAGUGUGAGAGAAGUAAAUAUGUCCCUCUUAAGCGUACACCUGCAGUGUUUGUGAAACAAGGGAGAUUUUAUGUAUGUUUGUAUUGUAAUAUGGAGGGUGAAUAUGUGUUGUUUCAGUGUGAAUUUUUAAUUACCUGGUCAAAUAUUGUUUUAUGCUUCAGAUGGAGCAACACUCCAUGCACCAAAACCACUACACUGCAAUACAGUGUUUAUUGUCCCAGAAGUGCCUUUGGCCCCAAUGCA